UCGAAACCUGCCAAAGCAGACGACCCGCGAACACGUUAAAAAGUACCUAAGCGGAUUGGUGAUGGGUGCGAGCCCUGAUCCGUCCGCUUGUCGGGUCGUGGGAGUUGGUUGCAUCCCUUGUGGUUGUGGUCGCUUCGCGUUCCCGCACAACAUAAAAAUCCGGGCGCGAUUGGCGUCAAGGAAAUCUUAGCGGAAACAAAGCGUUGUGCCUUCACCGGUACAACGCCAAGAAUCCCAAUACUCAAACGACUCUCGGCAACGGAUAUCUCGGCUCUUGCAUCGAUGAAGAACGUAGCGAAAUGCGAUACUUGGUGUGAAUUGCAGAAUCCCGUGAACCAUCGAGUUUUUGAACGCAAGUUGCGCCCGAGACCUUUAGGUUGAGGGCACGUCUGCCUGGGCGUCACACACAGCGUCGCUCCCCACCAACCUAGUUGGCAGAGAGCGGAGAUUGGCCCCCCGAGUCCUCUGGGCACGGUCGGCACAAAUAUUGGUCCCCGGCAGCGAGUGUCGCGGUCAGCGGUGGUUGUAUCUCUUCCUCCAAAGACAAAAUGACGCGUACCUCGUUGCAUGUUGGAUCGAAACGACCCUCGAAAGCCGUUAGCGGCAUUCACCCU
RNAcentral lists this ribosomal RNA (614 nucleotides) under Ranunculus seguieri subsp. montenegrinus. Its description in RNAcentral is "eukaryotic LSU rRNA". The stretch from base 248 to 403 matches the Rfam family "5.8S ribosomal RNA". Lineage: Eukaryota; Viridiplantae; Streptophyta; Magnoliopsida; Ranunculales; Ranunculaceae. The record is from RNAcentral.